GUUCGGGCCGCACGCGCGCUACACUGACGGAGCCAGCGAGUAUAAACCUUGGCCGAAAGGUCUGGGGAAAUCUUGGGAAACUCCGUCGUGCUGGGGAUAGAGCAUUGUAAUUAUUGCUCUUCGACGAGGAAUUCCUAGUAAGCGCAAGUCAUCCGCUUGCGUUGAUUACGUCCCUGCCCUUUGGACACACCGCCCGUCGCUACUACCGAUUGAAUGGCUUAAUGAGGCUUCCGGAAUGGUUUAUAGAAGGGGGCAACUCCCUCUUGGAACCCAGAAGCUAGUCAAACUUGGUCAUUUAGAGGAAGUAAAAGUCGUAACAAGGUUUCCGUAGGUGAACCUGCGGAAGGAUCAUUACAGAAUGAAAAGUGCUUACCUGCAUUUUUUCUUACACAUGGGUUUUUCUUUUUUUGAAAACUUUGCUUUGGUAGGCCUUCUAUAUGGGGCCUGCCAGAGAUUAA
RNAcentral lists this ribosomal RNA (458 nucleotides) under Saccharomycetales sp. LM131. RNAcentral describes it as "bacterial SSU rRNA". The stretch from base 1 to 354 matches the Rfam family "Eukaryotic small subunit ribosomal RNA", at positions 1480 to 1831 of the family's 1831-position model. The record is from RNAcentral. Lineage: Eukaryota; Fungi; Ascomycota; Saccharomycetes; Saccharomycetales.